Helobdella robusta is the source of this 82-nucleotide transfer RNA. It matches the Rfam family "tRNA". Rfam says of the family: Transfer RNA (tRNA) molecules are approximately 80 nucleotides in length. Their secondary structure includes four short double-helical elements and three loops (D, anti-codon, and T loops). The record is from Rfam. Lineage: Eukaryota; Metazoa; Annelida; Clitellata; Rhynchobdellida; Glossiphoniidae.
GCAGUCGUGGCCGAGUGGUUAAGGCGAUAGACUUGAAAUCUAUUGGGCUCUGCCCGCACAGGUUCGAACCCUGUCGACUGCG